GUUGCUACCUACAGAUUUAAUGCGAUGGGACAAGUGUGCAAACUGCGCCUUUUCGAUGGCGGGCAGAAAGCACUUGGGACAUUCGCGUGGUUUGAGCGCUCCCUAUGAGUGGAAAUGCUUAUGAAAGCCUAACGAUUAUAUUUAAAGACAGAGCUUUAUCAAGGCUUUCAUCAUGCAUUAUAUUCUGUGGCUCGAAAUGUCAAUAGCACGAAAUUUACCUCAGAGUUUAAAAGGUUCACGGUUCCAGUGUGGGAGAGGAGAUUUUCCUCAAAAAGUGCAUGGGAUGAAUGAUGGUCAAAAGCUGCCCCCUUGACCAAAUCCAUUUCUUCUGCUGGUUAUCCAUAAAUCAGCAGUUCACCUACCCCAUGCCACACAAGCUCUUCAUCUCUGCCCUCGUGCACCACUCCUCCACAGCACCAUUCCCUUUCACCUUCCCUCUCUCCAAUCCCAAAUGUGACCAAAGAUAACACAGAAGAGGGCCAGCUGGACUCCUUGGUUGUGGUUGUGGAUUUCAAACAACUUAGACCCAGUAUCCCUAACAUUGGAAAUACCUGCUCCAUGAAUGCAAUAUGUUGCAGUGCCUCUUUGACCUUAAGUCUUUUUGCAAUGACAUCAUCGAGCAGGAGCAGAGCUGUAUAUUCCCUAAGCUGCUCAAAGCUGAAAAGUGCAUGCAGGAAGUGUUUUGGAAAACAGGCUUCUCUAUCCUUGAUGUUCAACUAAUCUUCUUGAGUCCUCAUUCGCCAGCUGAAACAUUUUUAGGUGGAUGCUCUUGGGAACAUGAAGAAACUGAUGAACAGGAUUCCCAUUCCUGUGGAAAAGACUGUGAACCACCACUGCAGGGAUGGUGUGCAAUCACUUCUCGAACUGGACAAUAGAGAAUGCAUCAGGAGCACAGCCCAGAGGAUCAGCGGCCUUUGCAAUGCAGUCUAGCCUCCCUUUGGCAUUUU
Anguilla anguilla (European eel) is the source of this 947-nucleotide long non-coding RNA. RefSeq lists it as uncharacterized. Lineage: Eukaryota; Metazoa; Chordata; Actinopteri; Anguilliformes; Anguillidae. The record is from RefSeq and is a predicted model, not a curated record. The transcript is spliced from 6 exons.